Molecule: ribosomal RNA, 468 nt
Filed under: uncultured bacterium
Lineage: Bacteria
Description: partial 16S ribosomal RNA
Rfam family: Bacterial small subunit ribosomal RNA
Source: RNAcentral
GACGAACGCUGGCGGCGUGCUUAACACAUGCAAGUCGAACGGAAAGGCCCUGCUUUUGUGGGGUGCUCGAGUGGCGAACGGGUGAGUAACACGUGAGUAACCUGCCCUUGACUUUGGGAUAACUUCAGGAAACUGGGGCUAAUACCGGAUAGGAGCUCCUGCUGCAUGGUGGGGGUUGGAAAGUUUCGGCGGUUGGGGAUGGACUCGCGGCUUAUCAGCUUGUUGGUGGGGUAGUGGCUUACCAAGGCUUUGACGGGUAGCCGGCCUGAGAGGGUGACCGGCCACAUUGGGACUGAGAUACGGACCAGACUCCUACGGGAGGCAGCAGUGGGGAAUAUUGCACAAUGGGCGGAAGCCUGAUGCAGCAACGCCGCGUGCGGGAUGACGGCCUUCGGGUUGUAAACCGCUUUCGCAUGUGACGAAGCGUGAGUGACGGUAAUGGGUAAGGAAGCACCGGCUAACUACGUG